CCUACGGGAGGCAGCAGUGGGGAAUAUUGCACAAUGGGGGAAACCCUGAUGCAGCGACGCCGCGUGAAGGAAGAAGUCCUUCGGUAUGUAAACUUCUAUUAGCAGGGAAGAAAAGUACGGUACGUGACUAAUCAUCCCCGGCUAAAUACGUGCCAGCAGCCGCGGUCAUACGUAGGGGGCAAGCGUUAUCCGGAUUUACUGGGUGUAAAGUGAGCGUAGGUGGUUUAGCAAGUCAGAAGUGAAAGCCCGGGGCUCAACUCCAGGACUGCUUUUGAAACUGUUGAACUAGAUUGCAGGAGAGGUAAGUGGAAUUCCUAGUGUAGCGGUGAAAUGCGUAGAUAUUAGGAGGAACACCAGUGGCGAAGGCGGCUUACUGGACUGUAAAUGACGCUGAGGCUCGAAAGCGUGGGGAGCAAACAGGAUUAGAUACCCUUGUAGUC
This 440-nucleotide ribosomal RNA is filed under the name uncultured bacterium. RNAcentral's name for it is "partial 16S ribosomal RNA". It matches the Rfam family "Bacterial small subunit ribosomal RNA", at positions 338 to 795 of the family's 1533-position model. The record is from RNAcentral.